Molecule: ribosomal RNA, 468 nt
Filed under: uncultured bacterium
Lineage: Bacteria
Description: partial 16S ribosomal RNA
Rfam family: Bacterial small subunit ribosomal RNA
Source: RNAcentral
GACGAACGCUGGCGGCGUGCUUAACACAUGCCAGUCGAACGGAAAGGCCCUGCUUUUGUGGGGUGCUCGAGUGGCGAACGGGUGAGUAACACGUGAGUAACCUGCCCUUGACUUUGGGAUAACCUCAGGAAACUGGGGCUAAUACCGGAUAGGAGCUCCUGCUGCAUGGUGGGGGUUGGAAAGUUUCGGCGGUUGGGGAUGGACUCGCGGCUUAUCAGCUUGUUGGUGGGGUAGUGGCUUACCAAGGCUUUGACGGGUAGCCGGCCUGAGAGGGUGACCGGCCACAUUGGGACUGAGAUACGGCCCAGACUCCUACGGGAGGCAGCAGUGGGGAAUAUUGCACAAUGGGCGGAGGCCUGAUGCAGCAACGCCGCGUGCGGGAUGACGGCCUUCGGGUUGUAAACCGCUUUCGCCUGUGACGAAGCGUGAGUGACGGUAAUGGGUAAAGAAGCACCGGCUAACUACGUG